This is a non-coding RNA of Phialophora macrospora, 80 nucleotides long. Lineage: Eukaryota; Fungi; Ascomycota; Eurotiomycetes; Chaetothyriales; Herpotrichiellaceae. The record is from the annotation of a GenBank genome assembly.
AACUUCAUCGCAGUUGGUAGAGCGCGGCACUAGUACUCUCAGUAAUGCCGAGGUCUUGAGUUCGACUCUCAACGGAGGCA